AAUCUAAACCUGCCCUGUCACAAUUUAAAUAAUUUCCUCUUGUCCUGUCUCUUGUUACCUGGCAUAAGACACCAGUCCUCACCUGGCCUCACCCUCCUUUUAAGCAUUUUUGAGAGUAUUAAGACCUUCUCUGAGUCUCCUUUUCUCCAGGCUAAACAACCCCCAGCUACCACAACCACUCCUCAUGGGACUUGUGCUCCAGAGCCCUCACCAGCUUCGUUUCCCUUCUCUGGACUCACUCCAGCCCCCCAGUGUAUUUCUUGUAGUAGGGGCCCAGAACUGGACACAGCACUCCAGGUGUGGCUCCAGCAGUGCCCAGUAUAGCAGGACAAUCACUGCCCUGGCCCUGGGGCCACACUAGUGCUGAUACAGGCCAGGUGCCAUUCUUGGCCACCUGGGCACACACUUCUCAUAUUCAGCCAUGAUCAGCCACCACCUCCAGGUCCUUUUCCUCUGGGCAGCUUUCUCAGCCUGUAGUAUUCCAGGGAGUUGUUGUGACCUAAGGGCAGGACCCAGCUCUUGGCUUUGUUCAACCUCAUGUAAUUGCGCCCAUCAAUCCAGCCUGUCCAGAUCCUUCUGUAGAGACAUCCUGCCCUCCAGCAGAUCAAUACUUGUGCCCACCUUGAUUUCAACUGCAAAUUGACAGAGGAUGCCCUUGAUCACCUCAUCCAGAUCAUUGGUAAAGAUAUUAAACUGGGCUUGACCCAACAUUGAGCUCCGGGGAACACCACUUGUCACUGGAUACCAGGUGGAUGCAACUCCAUUCACAUCCACUCUGGGCUCAGCCAAACACAGGUGGUAAACACAGGCAGGCACCUGCUUAUACCAGGGGCACUUAUAUGAAUUAUCUCACUGACUUCAGCACACAUAAGUAAAGGUACUCUGCUGCAGAAGAACCCUCAUUGAGAGCAAAGGUGCAAUUUCAUCCUUGCUGAUAUUUGAAAAAGCUACAAAUUCAUCAGGCUUGAAAUAAGAUUGUAUUCUGAAGUAUUUUUAAGCACCUGUGUAGUAGAAAGUCUGUCAGCCUUUUCAACAUGAAAUUAUUAACACUUGAUAAGAUCUAGGAGCUCACACAGUGUACACAGUGUCAAAAUUACAUGGCUGGCUAGUUGUUUUUUGGUCUGUUUUGGUAUUUUCCAUUCUGAGUUGCUCCAAAAGCAGUUGUCUUUCUAUAAAAGAAGAAUGGAGAAAUUUAAUUUCUUUCAUUAUGACAGACAAACUAAUCCUCAGAAUGUAUUAUUAUGUUUAAAAAAUAUUUGAUAACCAUUGUGCUGUAGCUUAAAUGAAUCCUGUGCUAUACAUUGGUUUUGACUGUGCAAUUCUCUUUUGUUUAGUAUUUUUAAUUAUUUUAAAAAGCAUGGGUUUUUUUUUUCUCUCUCUCUCCUUGAGAUAUAAUUUGGUAUCUGAAAAACUUGAACACUAGGUGAUCUCAAAGUGACAUCUCCUUGGCUGCUGGCAGCUCUCCUCUAGGUGGUCAUCUCCACUCCUGCACUAUGUCCUGUUGCUGCCCAGUGUCCAAAGUGUCCUUGAGCCUUAGCUCUAGUAAUGCUGAGGCUAUGGAGAGGCAACACCAAAUGUACAGAAUCUUAACACCUGACCAAUGUGCAGCAUUUAGGUCCAAUAAACACACUCCAGUCAGCACUAAUAACAUCACUCACAGCAACCACCAGUAGGGAUCUUGGGCAGGUUCUGUUGGAAGACAUGUAGUUCCAGGGAAAUAGCAUAGCACAAGUCCUGCUCCUUUUUGUCAUCUUCAGUCCUGAUACUGGCUGCACUGGAGACAGUCCCAAUAGGGGAUGAUCAACUGAGACCUUACCAAUCUUCUUCCUGGCUGGGUACUGAGGAGAUUUCUUUUUCCCAUUCCUUUCCUUUCUCUCUUCUGGUUUCUUUAUUUUUUCUUUUUUUUUUCCCAAGACCCGAUUUGUACCUUUAAAAUCAACAUAUUCCAUCAGCUUCAGAUGUUCUUAAUCAAUCAGUGUGCAGAUGGACCAGCCUCAGCAUCCUCUGUGCAGCUAUUUCUCCCACUGUCUGUCUUUGAUGGCAAACAUAAGUGAAUGCCAAGAGAAGAGUGUUACAACAGGCUGUAAAGUCCCAGUCAUGUAAGGCUAGAGGUUCAUGGCUCAUGGAAGAAAGAGAGGAGUGGAAGACUUCUGAUCAAGUCACACCAUUGACAGGCACAUUUCUGAAAGGCUGGGAAAUUCCACAAACAGAAAAAUGCUCAGUCUACCCCAGCACAAUGCAGGACCAUAAAAACCAGCAUGAUGAAUGUCAUACCACUAUGCACAGCACAGUGAAUAGCUGUACUGAGCUUUCAAGGGAGUGCACAUGGUGGGAUUUAAAUGUCCAUCAUCUGCUUUCCCAACUUAUUGAGGAACCCAGUUUAAUUUCCAAGAAUCAGGAACAAGGUAAUAGAAAUUGCACUUGAUUAGCAAAGACCUCAAUAAGCACCCUCUUCUGGCUAAAUAUUCAGUGAUUGCAAACAGUAUUCUUCCAAAUAUAUAAAUUUCUCGUGUUUGGGUUGCAAGACAACCGCGAGUUCAAGGCCACUGGUGUGAGCAUCUGCAGAUCCAAAUUUUUGAUAUGUAUCUGUAAAAGAGACAGCAUACACAGAAUUCUCAUCAGGAUGAAGAGAUCUUGCCUGGAUAGGAAUGGAAGAUUGCCCAUAUCAGAAGACUUCUACUUGCACAAAACUCCAAAUUGAAAAGUGUUUUAUAUUUUCAUGUGUAGUCACACAAAGAACUCUAAACAAGCCAGAAUCUCCAACAAGAGAGAUAGAUCUUCCCCUUGAAAAAGAAAACAGACACAGGGAAAAAUUAAUUAUAAAGACACUGUAAAGUGUAAUUUUUGUUAUGGCAUAUUGGCUGAACAAUAAAAGAUCAUUAACUUACAUCAUAAUAUCUCAUAAUUGCAUCUCAGAUAUUGUAGGUAUGGGACUUAAAUAAAAAAUGAAUUAAAAUGC
Non-coding RNA from Taeniopygia guttata (zebra finch), 2959 nucleotides. The record is from RefSeq and is a predicted model, not a curated record. Lineage: Eukaryota; Metazoa; Chordata; Aves; Passeriformes; Estrildidae.